RNAcentral lists this ribosomal RNA (1318 nucleotides) under Acrocirridae sp. horned bomber. RNAcentral's name for it is "SSU rRNA". It matches the Rfam family "Eukaryotic small subunit ribosomal RNA", at positions 15 to 1296 of the family's 1831-position model. Lineage: Eukaryota; Metazoa; Annelida; Polychaeta; Terebellida; Acrocirridae. The record is from RNAcentral.
UGCCAGUAGUCAUAUGCUUGUCUCAAAGAUUAAGCCAUGCACGUCUAAGUGCACACCACAUGUGAUGGUGAAACUGCGAACGGCUCAUUAAAUCAGUCAUGGUUCAUUGGAUCGUACAAUCCCACGUGGAUAACUGUGGUAAUUCUAGAGCUAAUACAUGCAACACAGCCCGGACCCCCUCGCGGAGGCACGGGUGCUCUUAUUAGAUCAAGCCAGCCGGGUUCAACCCGCGUCUCUGGUGACUCUGGAUAACACUUGGCAGACCGCACGGCCAUCGAGCUGGCGGCGUUUCCUACAAAUGUCUGACUUAUCAAUUGUCGACGGGAGGCGACCUGCCUCCCGUGAUGAUGACGGGUGACGGGGAAUCAGGGUUCGAUUCCGGAGAGGGAGCCUGAGAAACGGCUACCACAUCCAAGGAAGGCAGCAGGCGCGCAAAUUACCCACUCCCGACACGUGGAGGUAGUGACGAAAAAUAACGAUGCGGGACUCUUUGGAGGCCCCGUAAUCGGAAUGAGUGCACUUUAAAUCCUUGAACGAGGAUCUAUUGGAGGGCAAGUCUGGUGCCAGCAGCCGCGGUAAUUCCAGCUCCAAUAGCGUAUACUAAAGUUGCUGCGGUUAAAACGCUCGUAGUUGGAUCUCUGGCGAGGGACGGUUGGUGCCGGCCUACGUUGUCGGGUCACUGCCGGAUAAAUAAUCCCCGCCACCUCAUGCCGGCGACUCCUCGGGUGCCCUUAACCGGGCUUGCCCGUGGUGGUCUGGCGAUGUUUACUUUGAAAAAAUUGGAGUGCUCAACGCAGGCAUUGGUACCUGCCGUGAACGAAUGGUGCAUGGAAUAAUGGAAAAGGACCUCGGUUCUGUUUUGUUGGUUUCAUGAAUCCGAGGUAAUGAUUAAGAGGGACUGACGGGGGCAUUCGUAUUGCGGCGGGAGAGGUGAAAUUCUUGGAUCGCCGCAAGACGAACGAUUGCGAAAGCAUUUGCCAAGAAUGUUUUCAUUAGUCAAGAACGAUAGUCAGAGGUUCGAAGACGAUCAGAUACCGUCGUAGUUCUGACCGUAAAUGAUGCCAACCGGCGAUGCGCCGAAGUCGUACCAAGACUCGGCACGCAGCCCUCACGGGAAACCUGGAGUUUCUGGGUUCCGGGGGAAGUAUGGUUGCAAAGCUGAAACUUAAAGGAAUUGACGGAAGGGCACCACCAGGAGUGGAGCCUGCGGCUUAAUUUGACUCAACACGGGGAACCUCACCUGGCCCGGACACUGGUAGGAUUGACAGAUUGAGAGCUCUUUCUCGAUUCGGUGGAUGGUGGUGCAUGGCCGUUCUUA